UACGUAGGGCGCAAGCGUUGUCCGGAUUUACUGGGCGUAAAGCGCACGUAGGCGGAUCCUUAAGUCAGGGGUGAAAUCCUGGAGCUCAACUCCAGAACUGCCUUUGAUACUGAAGAUCUUGAGUUCGGGAGAGGUGAGUGGAACUGCGAGUGUAGAGGUGAAAUUCGUAGAUAUUCGCAAGAACACCAGUGGCGAAGGCGGCUCACUGGCCCGAUACUGACGCUGAGGUGCGAAAGCGUGGGGAGCAAACAGG
This 253-nucleotide ribosomal RNA is filed under the name uncultured bacterium. RNAcentral describes it as "partial 16S ribosomal RNA". It matches the Rfam family "Bacterial small subunit ribosomal RNA", at positions 524 to 776 of the family's 1533-position model. The record is from RNAcentral.